AAGAAAGAAAGAAAGAAAGAAAGAAAGAAGAGCUAGGGAGGGAGGACUGAUGAUUGAUGACUUGCCUGGCAUCAUUGUGUUUUCUUCCUCUUUUCUUUCUUCGUCUUUUUUUGGCUCCUGGCCAAUGAAUGUGUCAGACUUCUCUUUCUGUCCGUUCAUUCUUUUCUCUAUCAGCUCUCAAAUGGACAGAAUGUAACACCAAUGGAAAAGGCGGGCAAGCAAGUUUUGAGUUGAGGGGGUCGGAAGAAGAAAGAAAACACGAAAAUUCAGGAUGUGAGCCGCAACUCACUUCUUCUAAAGUUCCCAUGCAGCAAAAGGGAA
Molecule: non-coding RNA, 321 nt
Filed under: Chromera velia
Lineage: Eukaryota; Chromeraceae
Source: RNAcentral